UACGUAGGGCGCAAGCGUUAUCCGGAAUUAUUGGGCGUAAAGAGCUCGUAGGCGGUUUGUCGCGUCUGCCGUGACAGUCCGGGGCUCAACUCCGGAUCUGCGGUGGGUACGGGCAGACUAGAGUGAUGUAGGGGAGACUGGAAUUCCUGGUGUAGCGGUGAAAUGCGUAGAUAUCGAGAGGAACACCUGCGGCGAAGGCGGGUUGCUGGGCUGACACUGACGCUGAUGCGCGAAAGCCAGGGGAGCGAACGGG
This 253-nucleotide ribosomal RNA is filed under the name uncultured bacterium. RNAcentral describes it as "partial 16S ribosomal RNA". It matches the Rfam family "Bacterial small subunit ribosomal RNA", at positions 524 to 776 of the family's 1533-position model. The record is from RNAcentral.